AAAUUGAAGAGUUUGAUCAUGGCUCAGAUUGAACGCUGGCGGCAGGCCUAACACAUGCAAGUCGAGCGGUAGCACAGAGAGCUUGCUCUCGGGUGACGAGCGGCGGACGGGUGAGUAAUGUCUGGGAAACUGCCUGAUGGAGGGGGAUAACUACUGGAAACGGUAGCUAAUACCGCAUAACGUCGCAAGACCAAAGUGGGGGACCUUCGGGCCUCAUGCCAUCAGAUGUGCCCAGAUGGGAUUAGCUAGUAGGUGGGGUAAUGGCUCACCUAGGCGACGAUCCCUAGCUGGUCUGAGAGGAUGACCAGCCACACUGGAACUGAGACACGGUCCAGACUCCUACGGGAGGCAGCAGUGGGGAAUAUUGCACAAUGGGCGCAAGCCUGAUGCAGCCAUGCCGCGUGUGUGAAGAAGGCCUUCGGGUUGUAAAGCACUUUCAGCGGGGAGGAAGGCGAUAAGGUUAAUAACCUUGUCGAUUGACGUUACCCGCAGAAGAAGCACCGGCUAACUCCGUGCCAGCAGCCGCGGUAAUACGGAGGGUGCAAGCGUUAAUCGGAAUUACUGGGCGUAAAGCGCACGCAGGCGGUCUGUCAAGUCGGAUGUGAAAUCCCCGGGCUUAACCUGGGAACUGCAUUCGAAACUGGCAGGCUAGAGUCUUGUAGAGGGGGGUAGAAUUCCAGGUGUAGCGGUGAAAUGCGUAGAGAUCUGGAGGAAUACCGGUGGCGAAGGCGGCCCCCUGGACAAAGACUGACGCUCAGGUGCGAAAGCGUGGGGAGCAAACAGGAUUAGAUACCCUGGUAGUCCACGCCGUAAACGAUGUCGAUUUGGAGGUUGUGCCCUUGAGGCGUGGCUUCCGGAGCUAACGCGUUAAAUCGACCGCCUGGGGAGUACGGCCGCAAGGUUAAAACUCAAAUGAAUUGACGGGGGCCCGCACAAGCGGUGGAGCAUGUGGUUUAAUUCGAUGCAACGCGAAGAACCUUACCUGGUCUUGACAUCCACAGAACUUUCCAGAGAUGGAUUGGUGCCUUCGGGAACUGUGAGACAGGUGCUGCAUGGCUGUCGUCAGCUCGUGUUGUGAAAUGUUGGGUUAAGUCCCGCAACGAGCGCAACCCUUAUCCUUUGUUGCCAGCGGUUAGGCCGGGAACUCAAAGGAGACUGCCAGUGAUAAACUGGAGGAAGGUGGGGAUGACGUCAAGUCAUCAUGGCCCUUACGACCAGGGCUACACACGUGCUACAAUGGCAUAUACAAAGAGAAGCGACCUCGCGAGAGCAAGCGGACCUCAUAAAGUAUGUCGUAGUCCGGAUUGGAGUCUGCAACUCGACUCCAUGAAGUCGGAAUCGCUAGUAAUCGUAGAUCAGAAUGCUACGGUGAAUACGUUCCCGGGCCUUGUACACACCGCCCGUCACACCAUGGGAGUGGGUUGCAAAAGAAGUAGGUAGCUUAACCUUCGGGAGGGCGCUUACCACUUUGUGAUUCAUGACUGGGGUGAAGUCGUAACAAGGUAACCGUAGGGGAACCUGCGGUUGGAUCACCUCCUUA
Molecule: ribosomal RNA, 1540 nt
Filed under: Klebsiella pneumoniae
Lineage: Bacteria; Pseudomonadati; Pseudomonadota; Gammaproteobacteria; Enterobacterales; Enterobacteriaceae
Description: bacterial SSU rRNA
Rfam family: Bacterial small subunit ribosomal RNA
Source: RNAcentral